This 1009-nucleotide long non-coding RNA is filed under the name Cricetulus griseus (Chinese hamster). RNAcentral describes it as "lncRNA (ENSCGRG00015042127.1)". Lineage: Eukaryota; Metazoa; Chordata; Mammalia; Rodentia; Cricetidae. The record is from RNAcentral.
GAUGCCUGGCAAGGAGAGUCUCAGAACGGUGCUUACUGCUUACGAGAAUACCGAGCGUUGGGAAAUGUGAAGACACUCAGUGGAGGCGGGAGAUGGAGGCGAAUAGUUCCUUGAACCUCGUCGCGCAGAUGAAAGGUUUUAAACGGAUUUUCUGAAGUUGCCCCGCGUCCGGAUCUUUUUGUACCGGUCGCGUCGCCUGCUUGCUAAGGAGUGCGCCUCCGGGGGAGGUGUGUGCGCGCGCGCUGGAGGCGGGGAGGCGGUGGAGAGGGGCCUGGCUCCCGGAAUAAACAGCGGGGGAGCGGCUGGGCGGACGCCCGCAGCCAGGGGAGCGAGGUGCAAGGGCCGAAGGCCACAGAAGCGAGCCCCGGGAUGGUAGCGAGGAGAUCGGAAAGCCUUUGAUGCCAGAAGCCGCUGGUUGGAGACAGUGACAGCCGAGCCCUGCCCCUCCGAGGGAGUCUCUAGCUGUGCCUCAGACCUUAAGAGUACCCAACCUUGGGGAUUCUGUUUCAGCAACAGACACCAGACUAAACUAACGUGAUGGCAAACUGUGUGAAGAGUCUUGGAAAUAUCCAGUGUUCCUCGUGGACAAGUGGAGACCUGCUGGUUGUGUUCAUCCGCCUGGAGCAUCGGCCAGGUUGCAGGUUAUCUGUUGUCUGUGGGCCAUGCCUCAGGGCAGAGCCCGAGACAGAACUAGAAGAAAUGCCAAGGACUUUAUGAAACCAGUCAAGCAUCUAGGACUCAUGGAUGAGAUUCAGUUCUGUGCUGUGUAAACUGAAGGAAGAGCAACAAGACCUGAUAAAGAAGUGAUACUGUGCCUACAGUAAAACUGGGAUUUCCCUCGGAACCACCCCCCAUGAAUAUAGAAGUAAUCUGUGGCCAAGGAUACUUUUAAAAAUGUAUUUAUCAAACAAUAUUUAACAUAUACAAGGGAAACUAAUAAAGAGUUUUAAUUUUGUGAAGAACUUAACAAUAGUGGCAGAAAUUUUAUGGGAAUAUGGAUCACUUCCUC